RNAcentral lists this ribosomal RNA (2405 nucleotides) under wallaby gut metagenome. RNAcentral describes it as "bacterial LSU rRNA". It matches the Rfam family "Bacterial large subunit ribosomal RNA", at positions 3 to 2437 of the family's 2925-position model. The record is from RNAcentral.
UCAAGCAAAAAAGAGCGCAGGGUGGAUGCCUUGGCACUAAGAGCCGAAGAAAGACGUGAUAAGCUGCGAUAAGCUGUGGUGAGCUGCACAUAAGUGAUGACCCACAGAUUUCUGAAUGGGGAAACCUGGCAGGGGAACCUGUCAUCCAUACUGAAUCCAUAGUGUAUGGAAGGGAACCUGGUGAACUGAAACAUCUAAGUAGCCAGAGGAAGAGAAAGAAACAUCGAUUUCGUAAGUAGCGGCGAGCGAACGCGAAAGAGGCCAAACCGGAGUGCAUGCAUUCCGGGGUUCGGACUGCAUUUAGGAUUAACAGAGACUAGUAGAACGGUUUUGGGAAAGCCGGCCAGAGAGGGUGAAAGCCCCGUACACGAAAGUUGAAGUUACCGAGCAGGAUCCAGAGUAGGACGAGACACGAGAAACCUUGUCUGAAUGAGCGGGGACCACCCCGUAAGCCUAAAUACUCCUUAGUGACCGAUAGCGCAUAGUACUGUGAAGGAAAGGUGAAAAGGACCCCGGGAGGGGAGUGAAAGAGAACCUGAAACCCUGUGUUUACAAGCUGUGGAACAUCUAUCUAAAAGAAGAUGAACCGCGUACUUUUUGUAGAACGGUCCGGCGAGUUACGCUUACUGGCAAGGAUAAGUACCAAGAGGUAUGGAUCCGAAGGGAAACCAAGUCUUAAAAGGGCGUUUAGUCAGUGGGAGUAGACCCGAAACCGGGUGACCUAUCCAUGUCCAGGUUGAAGUUGCCGUAAAAGGCAGUGGAGGACCGCACACACAUCCGUUGAAAAGGGUGGUGAUGAGGUGUGGAUAGGGGAGAAAUUCCAAUCGAACCCGGAGAUAGCUGGUUCUCCUCGAAACAGCUUUAGGGCUGUCCUCAUUUUAGUCUUAUGGAGGUAGAGCACUGAAUUUCCGCGGGGGCGUCAAAGCUUACCAAAGAAUAUCAAACUCCGAAUGCCAUGUAGAUGAUGAAUGGGAGUCAGACUGCACGAGAUAAGUUGAGUGGUCAAAAGGGAAAGAGCCCAGACCGCCGGCUAAGGUCCCAAAGUGCGUGUUAAGUGGUAAAGGAUGUGGGAUCUCGAAGACAACUAGGAUGUUGGCUCAGAAGCAGCCAAGCAUUCAAAGAGUGCGUAACAGCUCACUAGUCGAGAGGUUCUGCGCCGAAAAUGUACCGGGGCUAAAACACGACACCGAAGCCGCGGGAUGUAAGUAAUUACAUCGGUAGAGGAGCAUUCUUAAAACGAUGAAGCGUUACCGUAAGGAGGCGUGGAGAUUUAAGAAGAGAGAAUGCCGGAAUGAGUAGCGAGAGAAAGGUGAGAAUCCUUUCGGCCGAAUAUCUAAGGAUUCCAGGGUAAAGCUGAUCUGCCCUGGGUAAGUCGGGACCUAAGGCGAGGUCGAAAGACGUAGUCGAUGGACAACAGGUUUAGAUUCCUGUACCUGAUAGUAACAGAACUGUGGGGACGCAGAGACAAAACACGAGCCGGGAAUGGAAAAACCGGUCGAAGCGUAAUAGGAGGCAGUAGGAAAACCCGCUGUAGAAUCCGAAGACGUGUAAGGGAGCGAAAUAUUAGUAGCGAAGCGUGUGGAGGAGCUGCCGAGAAAAGCCGCUAUUGUUUGCUAUCAGCCCGUACCGUAAACCGACACAGGUGGAUGAGGAGAAGAUCCUAAGGCCGACGGAAGAAGCAUUGUUAAGGAAUUCGGCAAAAUGACCCCGUAACUUCGGGAGAAGGGGUGCCUGAGCAAUCAGGCCGCAGAGAAUAGGCUCAAGCAACUGUUUAGCAAAAACACAGGUCUAUGCGAAACCGUAAGGUGAAGUAUAUGGGCUGACGCCUGCCCGGUGCUGGAAGGUUAAGAGGAGAGGUUAGCUUCGGCGAAGCUUUGAAUUGAAGCCCCAGUAAACGGCGGCCGUAACUAUAACGGUCCUAAGGUAGCGAAAUUCCUUGUCGGGUAAGUUCCGACCCGCACGAAAGGCGUAAUGAUUUGAGCACUGUCUCGACAAUGCAUCCGGUGAAAUUGAAGUACCAGUGAAGAUGCUGGUUACCCGCGCCAGGACGGAAAGACCCCAUGGAGCUUUACUCCAGUUUGGUACUGGGAUUCGAUACUGCAUGUACAGGAUAGGUGGGAGACGAAGAAGUAAGGACGCCAGUCUUUACAGAGUCGCUGUUGGGAUACCACCCUUGUAGUAUUGGAUUUCUAACCUGCCACCGUGAUCCGGUGGGGGGACAAUGCCAGGCGGGGAGUUUGACUGGGGCGGUCGCCUCCGAAAGAGUAUCGGAGGCGCUCAAAGUUUCCCUCAGGAUGGUUGGAAACCAUCUAUAGAGUGCAAAGGCAUAAGGGAGGCUGACUGCGAGAGCGACGGUUCGAGCAGGUACGAAAGUAGGACUUAGUGAUCCGGUGGUAUAAAGUGGG